UGGGGAAUUUUGGACAAUGGGGGAAACCCUGAUCCAGCCAUGCCGCGUGCGGGAAGAAGGCCUUCGGGUUGUAAACCGCUUUUAGCUGGGAAGAAAAGAUCACGGAUAACACCCGUGGUUCUUGACGGUACCGGCGGAAUAAGCACCGGCUAACUACGUGCCAGCAGCCGCGGUAAUACGUAGGGUGCGAGCGUUAAUCGGAAUUACUGGGCGUAAAGCGUGCGCAGGCGGUUCGUUGUGUCCGUCGUGAAAGCCCCGGGCUUAACCUGGGAACUGCGAUGGAAACUAGCGAGCUGGAGUGUGGCAGAGGGGGGUGGAAUUCCGCGUGUAGCAGUGAAAUGCGUAGAGAUGCGGAGGAACACCGAUGGCGAAGGCAGCCCCCUGGGCUAACACUGACGCUCAGGCACGAAAGCGUGGGGAGCAAACAGGAUUAGAUACCCGGGUAGUCC
This 449-nucleotide ribosomal RNA is filed under the name uncultured bacterium. Its description in RNAcentral is "bacterial SSU rRNA". It matches the Rfam family "Bacterial small subunit ribosomal RNA", at positions 355 to 796 of the family's 1533-position model. The record is from RNAcentral.